UUUAAAUUGAGAGUUUGAUCCUGGCUCAGGAUGAACGCUGGCGGCGUGCUUAACACAUGCAAGUCGAGCGAGGGAGCACCUUCGGGUGUGAACUAGCGGCGGACGGGUGAGUAACACGUGGGCAACCUGCCUUACAGAGGGGGAUAGCCUUCCGAAAGGAAGAUUAAUACCGCAUAUUAUGAUUUUUCUGCAUGGGAAAGUCAUGAAAGGAGCAAUCCGCUGUAAGAUGGGCCCGCGGCGCAUUAGCUAGUUGGUGAG
Molecule: ribosomal RNA, 258 nt
Filed under: Clostridium cadaveris
Lineage: Bacteria; Bacillati; Bacillota; Clostridia; Eubacteriales; Clostridiaceae
Description: 16S rRNA. Bacterial SSU
Rfam family: Bacterial small subunit ribosomal RNA
Source: RNAcentral